Phytophthora sojae is the source of this 71-nucleotide transfer RNA. It matches the Rfam family "tRNA". From Rfam's summary of the family: Transfer RNA (tRNA) molecules are approximately 80 nucleotides in length. Their secondary structure includes four short double-helical elements and three loops (D, anti-codon, and T loops). Further hydrogen bonds mediate the characteristic L-shaped molecular structure. tRNAs have two regions of fundamental functional importance: the anti-codon, which is responsible for specific mRNA codon recognition, and the 3' end, to which the tRNAs corresponding amino acid is attached (by aminoacyl-tRNA synthetases). tRNAs cope with the degeneracy of the genetic code in two manners: having more than one tRNA (with a specific anti-codon) for a particular amino acid; and 'wobble' base-pairing, i.e. permitting non-standard base-pairing at the 3rd anti-codon position. Lineage: Eukaryota; Oomycota; Peronosporomycetes; Peronosporales; Peronosporaceae. The record is from Rfam.
GCCUCGAUAGCUCAGUUGGGAGAGCGUCAUUGAAGAUCUGAAGGUCCCUGGUUCGAUCCCGGGUCGCGGCA